UGAUAAUGAAUUCUUUGGAUG
RNAcentral lists this microRNA (21 nucleotides) under Pristionchus pacificus. Its description in RNAcentral is "ppc-miR-2243". Lineage: Eukaryota; Metazoa; Nematoda; Chromadorea; Rhabditida; Neodiplogasteridae. The record is from miRBase by way of RNAcentral.